Molecule: ribosomal RNA, 465 nt
Filed under: Vreelandella stevensii
Lineage: Bacteria; Pseudomonadati; Pseudomonadota; Gammaproteobacteria; Oceanospirillales; Halomonadaceae
Description: partial 16S ribosomal RNA
Rfam family: Bacterial small subunit ribosomal RNA
Source: RNAcentral
ACUACGGGAGGCAGCAGUGGGGAAUAUUGGACAAUGGGCGAAAGCCUGAUCCAGCCAUGCCGCGUGUGUGAAGAAGGCCUUCGGGUUGUAAAGCACUUUCAGUGGGGAAGAAAGCCUUGGGGCUAAUACCCUCGAGGAAGGACAUCACCCACAGAAGAAGCACCGGCUAACUCCGUGCCAGCAGCCGCGGUAAUACGGAGGGUGCGAGCGUUAAUCGGAAUUACUGGGCGUAAAGCGCGCGUAGGCGGUCUGAUAAGCCGGUUGUGAAAGCCCCGGGCUCAACCUGGGAACGGCAUCCGGAACUGUCAGGCUAGAGUGCAGGACAGGAAGGUAGAAUUCCCGGUGUAGCGGUGAAAUGCGUAGAGAUCGGGAGGAAUACCAGUGGCGAAGGCGGCCUUCUGGACUGACACUGACGCUGAGGUGCGAAAGCGUGGGUAGCAAACAGGAUUAGAUACCCGAGUAGUC